This 230-nucleotide unclassified non-coding RNA is filed under the name Hevea brasiliensis (rubber tree). The record is from RNAcentral. Lineage: Eukaryota; Viridiplantae; Streptophyta; Magnoliopsida; Malpighiales; Euphorbiaceae.
GGUUAAUAUGAUUCUUGACAAUUUACCGGUGAUGAGGUAUACACAGCAGAAUGGCAUGACUAUACAGUGGACCGGGUUCCCGGUUGGGUAUACUCCCAAUGGAGCCAACGAUGACUACAUCAUCAACCACCUUAAGUUCAAGAUCCUUGUCCAUGAGUAUGAGGGCAGGGGUGUGCAGAUUAUCGGUACCGGAGAGGAGGGCAUGGGGGUGAUAUCGGAAACUGAUAAGA